This 315-nucleotide ribosomal RNA is filed under the name uncultured bacterium. RNAcentral describes it as "bacterial SSU rRNA". It matches the Rfam family "Bacterial small subunit ribosomal RNA", at positions 28 to 334 of the family's 1533-position model. The record is from RNAcentral.
GACGAACGCUGGCGGCGUGGCCGUAACACAUGCAAGUCGAACGGACGAAGGGAGCUUGCGUCCCUGGAGUUAAGGUGGCGAACGGGUGAGUAACGCAUGAGGAACCUGCCUCAAAGAGGGGGACAACAGUUGGAAACGACUGCUAAUACCGCAUAAGCCCACGACCCGGCAUCGGGUUGGGGGAAAAGGAGCAAUCCGCUUUGAGAUGGCCUCGCGUCCGAUUAGCUAGUUGGUGAGGUAACGGCCCACCAAGGCGACGAUCGGUAGCCGGACUGAGAGGUUGAACGGCCACAUUGGGACUGAGACACGGCCCAG